UACGGAGGGGGCUAGCGUUGUUCGGAAUUACUGGGCGUAAAGCGCACGUAGGCGGCUUUGUAAGUUAGAGGUGAAAGCCCAGGGCUCAACCCUGGAAUUGCCUUUAAGACUGCAUCGCUUGAACAUCGGAGAGGUAAGUGGAAUUCCGAGUGUAGAGGUGAAAUUCGUAGAUAUUCGCAAGAACACCAGUGGCGAAGGCGGCUCACUGGCCCGGUACUGACGCUGAGGUGCGAAAGCGUGGGGAUCAAACAGG
This 253-nucleotide ribosomal RNA is filed under the name uncultured bacterium. Its description in RNAcentral is "partial 16S ribosomal RNA". It matches the Rfam family "Bacterial small subunit ribosomal RNA", at positions 524 to 776 of the family's 1533-position model. The record is from RNAcentral.